CAGCAACCCUGAGAAGCUUUACAGCCCUAGACCCUAAAAGGUCAAAAGGCCGUCUUAUUCUCAAUAUACAUUACCCAAUCUGCUCCCGACAUUAAAUAAAACUCCAAAAAUUGGAAUCUGGCCCUCAAACCCCACAACAGGACUUAAUUAACCUCACCUUCAAGGUGUACAAUAAUUUAAAAAAGUUGCAAUUCCUUGCCUCCACUGUGAGACAAACCCCAGCCACAUCUCCAGCACACAAGAACUUCCAAACGCCUGAACCACAGCAGCCAGGCAUUCCUCCAGAACCUCCUCCCCCAGGAGCUUGCUACAAGUGCCAGAAAUCUGACCACCAGGCCAAGGAAUGCCUGCAGCCCAGGAUUCCUCCUAAGCUGUGUCCCAUCUGUGCAGGACCCCACUGGAAAUCAGACUGUUCGACUCACCUGGCAGCCACUCCCAGAGCCCCUGGAACUCUGGCCCAAGGCUCUCUGACUGACUCCUCGGCUUAGCAGCUGAAGACUGAUGCUGCCUGAUCACCUCAAAAGCCCUGUAGACCACCACAGACGCCGAGCUUCGAGUAACUCUCACAGUGGAAGUGCUGUGCUGCCUUCUGAAUUCUCCUACAAAAAGCAGUGGCCAGGUCGUAUGGUCCUUACAUUCCAGGAAAUUGUAAAGCUCUUCAAACUCUUCAAAUUAUAAAACUCUUCUCUUGAAGACAACCCCUUUUCUUGGCAAAGAGACCUGCUUUGGAGGGAACUCC
This 739-nucleotide long non-coding RNA is filed under the name Homo sapiens (human). Its description in RNAcentral is "HSALNT0091483". Lineage: Eukaryota; Metazoa; Chordata; Mammalia; Primates; Hominidae. The record is from RNAcentral.